UGGGUGUCUCAUGUUCUUAUCUCUUUGUCUUACCUGGGGCUUUAGACCUUGGGUCAGCCAGGGUUAUAGCAAGGGAUGCCUUCUUCAUCAAAGCCUGUGUUUGUCUCAGAAAAUGAUACCUCUGUGUAAGUUCAAGGGAAUAAUUUAGCUCUUUUUUCAACUUGGGCUUAUUUCUGAAAUGUAGCACAACACCCACAAGAUGGAGAAAAUAGAGUGGUUGAGGGAGUGGGAGAAAAAAAGAACAGCUUGGUUGCAAGGUUGGCAUCCUUGCUUGGGUGUGGCGUGGAAUGAGAGAACCUCUGAAUCCAUGGCCACAACCCUGGGCAAGGCAGCGAAGUUGUUUUAAAAACAAGCAAGCGGACAAAGAGAAAACAGGAGGUUUGACCAGUAAAUCCUAUGGACUCUUCUUAAGAAAUGCUGCUAAACAAAACUAUGAAGUCAUAAUGAAAGCAACAUUCCCCAUCUGCCCCAUAUUUUUCCUUAACACAUUCUAGGGUCACUGUGCUUAGGAGCAUGUCACAAAAUACUGUGUCACGCUGUCUGUGGUCAGUGUUGGGUGUCAACUUGAUUUUGACGAGACUGGGAUGAAAAAGGGAAGCUGGACGUAGGCGACUUCAAUCCCCAGCCGCAUCUCUCAGCACACAUCUGCGGCACCAGAAGGCACCUUUAUGUAGCCUUGGCUGUAUUUUUCAGUUUUGCAGGGCUUCCUGGAAUGUCAGGGAAUAUAAUAGACAUAUCAAAUUGAAGAAAUGUUGAGUUAUUUAAAACUCAAAUGUGGGCUUGUGGGGUAAUUCUUAUUCUCUAUCUUUCUCUCUUUUUUUCUUUCUUUCAGAAAUUCAGGGCAGGAAACAGGAAAGCAAGGCUCAGAUGAUAGGACUGUGAACUUGCAUUUUGACUUCUCCUCUGACAUGACUGUUGGCCAGUCUUAGGAUUAAUAGCUUUGUAGCCUGUUGUAGGGAGAAGUGUUUUUUCCUGCUUUGCUCCUGAUUCCUGGUGGAGCAACGUCACUAGCACUGCAGUUGUAGCCGCCUCUACCUAUCAUGCAAGUUUUCUAGAGGGAAAUGUGACCAUCUCAGUGGGGAUUUGAGAUGGAGAAACCAGGCGUGUACAGUUCAAUUCCACCCUUUCCCCUUUUCCUUGGAGCAAAUGUGCCUCCUGAGCACAUCCACCCUUGUGUCUGUGGUGGGUUUCACAGUAAAGGUUGAGAAGAUCUCUGGUUACAGUUUGGGAGGGGAAGUCUGUAUGUUUUGGAGCACUUAAAGAAAACCACUUCCUUGCAGAUGCACGCUAACUCCUCCAGUAUCCUCUUUGUUAGAAUAAAGGUGGUAUAGUGUAUAUAUUUUUCUACUAGCCUUAUGAUAUUGUUUUAUUUCUCAAUUGGUUCAGAAACCUCUCUAAGGACAAGAAGUAUUAUUUAUUGAGCCCCUUCGUGCCUCAAGACAGUUGUUCAAUUCAGUGUAAUGUCAAGUACCCAGAGAGCAGCGGUGUGGGAUUCAGAAAGGAUGAAACAAAGCAGACAACUUGUUGGCAUGUGCAAAGGCGGUUAGAGUUGGGUGACUUUAACCUAGAGCAGGUGAGGAGGUGGAAAGAAUAUAGACUUCCCUCUGAGCCCAAUGUGUAAAAUGACAUGUGGACAAUUCCUGAAAAGAAACACUCUGCUUUGUUAUCCACUUGGCGUGAGACUGACCAAUAAACAUGGCUCGUAUUUAUGAUAAGGUACAUUAAUUAUCAGCAUGUGCUUUCUUUUCAUUUAAUCCUUACCGCCAGCCUAUAAGACACGUGCUCUCGUUGCCCAUUUUACAAAUGAAGAAAUGAAAACAGAGGUUAAGAAAUUUGUGUCAGGUCAUAAAUGGCAACUCUGUAUUUGCCUGGUAAAUGGCAGAGCUGGGACCUACUGCAAGUGGACUGUCCACCUUGGACUCUAGAACUCUCUUACUCCAACCCUUGUAUGAACUCUGUGCCUGUAAUUUGCAUUUGACUAUGCUGUUUUCUCUACUUUUCCCCCCAGAGGUUAUGAAAAGUGGUUCAAUUAUAGAUCCAAAUUGAAAUGCUCGCUAAAUCCUUAUUUUUUUUUCUUCCUGAAUACUCUUUGGCUGCUUUUGUCAGUACAGGAGCUGGAGAGCUUCCUGCAGAGAAAUGACAGGAGAAUUGAAAUUCGUAGGGAAAAAGUGAACCAAGCCAGGGACAUUAAGGAGCAGGACAAGAAAACUGAAAUAGAAAGCCAUCAACCAGGAUCCGGGAAUGGCACAGAACCUGGAAAUAGAAUUGGGAAAACUCCCGAAGAAAAGAGGUCUAUCACAGAGUGCUACAAGACUGCUAUACCCCUUUUGGGAAAGAAAGACAACUAUAUUUUGUUGGAUAAUGUUUUAUCAGAACAGCUUCAGAAGCAGAUUGAAAAAAAUUCUGGAGCAACAGCAGCAUGAAAAUAGGAUACCAGUUUCUAUGGCAUGUGUGUACUUUGCAGUAAAGAAUUCAUGGAAAACACAGCUGUCUUUUAGAGCCAUGUGGCUUGAAAACCAACCUUCAAGAUUUUACUGCUGGGAAGUUGCAUGUCAUUUUAUGCGCAUUGAGAAAAAGUAGACAAUAUGUGAUAUGAAUGCUGAGCUCACUGGAGACAAUGGCACAAUGAAGGUGCAGCACUGGAAGAUGAGUGCUACAAGUCUAAAGCAUGCUGAUUUUAGGAGUUCCACUGUGGUGCAGUGGAUUAAGGAUCAAGUAUUGAUGCAACUGUGGCAUAGGUCACAGCUCUGGUUUGGAUUUGAUCCCUGGCAUGGAAAUUUCCAUAUGCUGUGGGUGCCACUGAGAAAAAAACCCCAAAAAACAUGGCUAAUUUGAAACUUGGAAAAUCUAUGGAAGAAAUGUACUUGGAAGAUCAUCAGAAAUUGUUAGAUGUUGGAGUUUCCAUCAUGGCUCAGUGGAAAUGAAUCUGACUAGGAACCUUGAGGUUGCAGGUUUGAUCCCUGGCCUCCCUUGGUGAGUUAAGGAUCCGGUGUUGCCGUGAGCUGCGGUAUAGGUUGCAGACGCGCUCGGGUCCCUCUUUGCUGUGGCUGUGGUGUAGGCCUGUGUCUGCAGCUCUGAUUGGACCCCUAGCUUGGGAACCUCCAUAUG
This 3108-nucleotide long non-coding RNA is filed under the name Sus scrofa (pig). RNAcentral describes it as "lncRNA (ENSSSCG00000052166.1)". Lineage: Eukaryota; Metazoa; Chordata; Mammalia; Artiodactyla; Suidae. The record is from RNAcentral.